CAUCAGCUCGAGUGAG
This 16-nucleotide ribosomal RNA is filed under the name Uvigerina peregrina. RNAcentral's name for it is "partial 28S ribosomal RNA". Lineage: Eukaryota; Foraminifera; Rotaliida; Uvigerinidae. The record is from RNAcentral.